AGCUUAGCGCCACCGAGUUUGAAGAGCAUGCGGGGUAUCGCCAUCAAAGAAAGCCCUACACAAACAUAUGCACAUCGAAAAAUGAAUCCCUUGAAAAACUUUCUGGAAGGCUUGAAGCUGCACUGAUUGCAGGCAGUGCUUUGUGCAGCAAAUGUCAUGAUGGCGGAGAUCUAUUGCUUUGCAAAGAAUGCCGUCGUAGUUUUCACACAGAAUGUGUCGAUCAAUUACUAAAGACAAGAAACAAAUUUGCAAAUAUUGCAAAGACAUGUUCAUAGAGAAACAUCAUAACGUGAAUGAUGCUGAAGAAACUGUUGCCACUGCUCAAUCCAUAGAGGCGUUGACGCCGAGCAGCAGUGGUAGCGAUGAUCAUUGUAAAGACGACAUA
This is a long non-coding RNA of Andrographis paniculata, 385 nucleotides long. RefSeq lists it as uncharacterized. The record is from RefSeq and is a predicted model, not a curated record. The transcript is spliced from 3 exons. Lineage: Eukaryota; Viridiplantae; Streptophyta; Magnoliopsida; Lamiales; Acanthaceae.